AAUACGAAAACCUCUUUCUUUAUCGAAAGUAAUACGGAAGAGACGGGCGAUUAAAAAAAUCGCACAUAUAGGUCUCUGGCCAGCCUUUUCCCUAGAAAACUGCUCUUCUUCCCCAGGUAUCUUCACUUUUUACCCAAUAGAUGCGAUUAAUAGUUGAGUUUGGAUUGUGCUGCUCGAUUAUCCUCUAUCGUCGUUGUUAGUAUUCUCUGUUUUAUCUGUUUCCCACUUCUCUUUUCAUGUAGAUUUCAAUAUUUUCGCAGAACUCGUUCUUCUCCUUCAAUUUCUAGUCUUUAUCGACAAAAUAAUUUGCUUACCAGGUGUUAAUGCAAUAAUUUGCUUCAACCUGAAGUAAAAUGGAAAACUGUAAUUUGGACUUGGGAUGAUGGGCACUUGGCUUGGAAAGUUACUAUGUUUGUGUUAAGAAAAGUGGCGGAGCGGAGAUAUUCUGAACCCUGAUGAACUUUUCUUAUGUUGGUCAUUUCCUGAUACAAAGAAGCCACUAGGUGUCUUAUAAUGAGUCGGGGGGCUUAAAACUUAGAGCUUUUUGCUGCUGAGGAUUGGCAAGUAUGGUUUCCCCUAUGUUGUUUCUUCCUUACUGUCAUAUACGGAAAUGGCUUUCAUGUAUCUAUUUUUUACUUUCAAUCUCAGUUUCAUUAUGUCACAACUAUAUCCAAUUGACCCUUUAGAUCAUUCUCAAAAAAUCCCGAGAAAAAGUAUCACACAAUAGCUUAUUUUUUUGGGGUCCAACUAGUAGUAGUUUCCCUCCAUGAACACUUUACUCUUAAAUAUCUAUCUUGUGUUAGUAAGUGGAGUCUCGGCAAGAGAAAAUAGAAGUUUUUGCCUUUUGCUUUUCUUAAGAUCUUAUAUGUUGUCCUUGUCCUCUAUUUAAUUGUUUUCCUCUAUGUAUUUACUAUGUGAAGGAGAAAUGUAAUUUUUUAUUUUC
Molecule: non-coding RNA, 943 nt
Organism: Nicotiana tabacum (common tobacco)
Lineage: Eukaryota; Viridiplantae; Streptophyta; Magnoliopsida; Solanales; Solanaceae
Source: RefSeq, a predicted model, not a curated record